This is a long non-coding RNA of Carassius carassius (crucian carp), 435 nucleotides long. RefSeq lists it as uncharacterized. The transcript has 2 exons. NCBI's taxonomy places the organism in Eukaryota, Metazoa, Chordata, Actinopteri, Cypriniformes, Cyprinidae. The record is from RefSeq and is a predicted model, not a curated record.
UGCAAUAGUCAUUCUCACGAUAGAAGUGGCAUAAAGCUUAAGAACGGAAUAUACUUUUAUCGUUUUCCAGCGCUGAAAUAUAAUAGUACAAGCCAUGUUUCAGAGGUGACAAAAAGGCGACGAAUGGCAUGGAUAGCAGCGGUAAGGAGGCCAAGAUUACCUUCGAUAACACUCCACCACACAUGAUGGUGUGUUCAAAGCAUUUUCACAAAGACACUACACCUGCACCUGAGAUGGAAGGUCCUGUGAAUCCACCCCCAUCACCGGGCACUGUCCACACCACUCAUGAGACUGAGCUGAAGACUUUGCUGGAUAAAAUUGUGGUUGUGUGCUGUGCUUUGACCAAUAUGUGUCCAAGUAUUGUUGUGAAGGCGUCAUGUUAGAAUUAUACACCAUGCUCACAUCUAAUAUGUAAAUGUUUUUUUUUUUUCAAAA